GUUCCCUCAACUGCUAAUUCCCUUCCCCAACCAGGGAUCGAAGCCAUGCACCUGCAUCGGAAGUGCAGAGUCUUACCACUGGACUGCCAGGGAACUCCCUACAAUGUAAUUUUAAAAGUACGUGGGCCUCUCACUGUUGUGGCCUCUUCCCGUUGC
Molecule: long non-coding RNA, 156 nt
Organism: Lagenorhynchus albirostris (white-beaked dolphin)
Lineage: Eukaryota; Metazoa; Chordata; Mammalia; Artiodactyla; Delphinidae
Exons: 3
Source: RefSeq, a predicted model, not a curated record